GUCCCUUUUUAAAAAUGGCUUUAACAAAUUUCUUUAUUAAUAUUUUUCCUGUUUUUUACUUUGAUCUUAAUAGAAUACUGACCCCAAAAACAAAUUAUACUCCAUUCCUUAAUGAUUCUGAUCAUUUCCGAAAAAGCUGACGAUUCGCGUUUUGAUUGGACACUCAUAUCGAAACUUUCUUGUCAAUGACGUUCGGUACUUUGAUUAAAUUCAUUCGCUGGUUGGCCAUCACGCCAACUGGCGGGUCGGCAAUACCGCCGUAAGAAGAAUACGAGAAUAACAACAGAUUCUAAUCAAGAACUUCCAUAAUUUUGAAGCAUGAUUGUUCUAAAUACAAAGGUGUUAAACAUAUUUAUUGCGUAAAAUCAGCUUCAAGUUCUGCUUCACUUCAAUUCAAGGAACAAAUUAGCAAUAUUAGGCAGAACCUUCAAGACAAGAAUAGAACUUGAAAUGAAGGCUAGCAAGAAGUGUGAAAAUGACUCAUCCUAUUUUUAUAAUACAGUAUCUGCUACAGGAUGCGACAUCUACGGAUGUGUUCAUCUACUACAUAAUGAAGAGAAUGAAAUAAAUCCAGUUUCUUACAUUAAGGAAAUUGGCUACUCCAACAAUAUGAAUCAUAAGAAUCUGUUGUUGUCAUAGUCUUCUAUUUCUUAUUCUGCUGGGGAUAGGUGCUUGUAAUGUUGAACUGGGGUAUUAAGUAAAAGGAAUAUUAAUAACGAAAAUUUAUCUAAAGUUUAUGUGUAAGAUUCAGAAAAUACUAGCUUAUUGAUUCAAAGUUGUAAUUUUAGUUUAAAAGUAAAGUUUUGGAUUUGGAAAAUUUCAUACUGUAAAAUAUGUAUUGUUUUUAAUUGAUAUAAAAUGCUCUCUGAAUAGGCAUCAAUUGAUUUUUCAAAAAAUAUUGUUAAACAAUGAAAUUUAUUAAUGUAUUUUAGUUUUCUCAUAUAUUUUUUUUAAAUUUAACUGACAUUAUUUCCAUUCAUUUUUAUCAAUGCAUGAAUAAGUAAUAUGUUGAAUCAUUAUGUAAAUAAAUCCAUAACUGGUGCUCUUGAUUAAAACCAAAUUAAGUUUUUUUUUAAAUUCUUUUUUUCUUAAAAUAUGAAGUGAGUAGAAAAAGAUUCCCAAAUUUAUCUUGUAGUUUUCACUAGUAUCUUUCAAAAGAUGGGGCACCCCCCCCCCUUAAGUAUUAAACGUGUUGAAAAUUAUAAAAUGUCAUGAAGCUUUUAAGCUUGCUAUUUUUUUUUAAAUUUUGGGGGCGACAAGAUCAUUUACUUUUAAUUUUUUUUUUUUUUUCAUUUUCAAAUUUUUUCUUCUACAAGUCCUUAAAGUUUGAUUCUUUCCCCUUUCCUCAUCUUUAGGGCAACAUGGUUGAAUUGCACAGAAACACUGUAAUCAAUAAUUUUAAUAUACAUGUGGCAAUGAUGGUUGCACUGAAGUAAAUUUUAAUGGCAUUUGAGACUGUUGUUUUUAAACUUUUUUCAAUCCAUGCAAAUCUUUGUUUUAUACUCAUGUUGGUUAUGCAUCUUUUGUAAUUGGAUUUUGUUAUCUUUUGUAAUUGGAUUUCCACAGUGCAGUGCUGUAGGGUAGGGAGGGGGGGGGGCUGUCCCCCAAAAUAUUUCUCCAAUUCAUGUAAAAAUAAUGCAGAUAUAGUGAAAUCAUCUUACAAUGAACUUCAAUGGAUCAGAAAUUUUGUUCGUUAUAUUGGAAUUCAAGCAAUGUAUUGGAAAUUAAACCGUGACUGAAAAUUUAUUUUGUGGAAAAGGAAAUUUUGUUGUAUUGGCAUUCGUUGUGACCAGUGAUGUCCCAACCAAUUUUUCGGAGGGUAUACUCUCAGAAACCCAUUGUGCACAAUAUUUGUAUGGGAUCAUAUACGUACAGUUGGCUCUCUAUUUAACAACUUUCAAGGGACCACAAAAAUCGUCCUUAAAUAGAUUGCUUUUAAAACUACAGUGGAGCAUGCUGGUCCGUGAAAAGUCGUCUUUAAGUAGAGAAAGUUGUUAAACAGAGAGCCAACUGUAUGUCUAAAAAAUGUUUGAGAGCAUACGGCAUAUAUGGAGUAUACCGUAUGAGAACACUCCCGGUUAUAAUGGAAUUUCACAGUAUAAUUAAAUUGGUUUCAAACCACCAGUUUUUUUUUUUUUUUUUUUUUUUUUUUUUAUAUUCAGUACCCCUAUAUAUUUUUCCCACCACAGCACUGCCACUGUGGGUUUUAAAUGCAGUUGAGAAACAUCUUCACCAUCUUUCCAAACACCUUUUAGGGUUUUUAACAGAUUAUGUAUGCUUACAAACUUGCAUUUUGUAGUAUUUCGUGCAAAAAUGAAAGUAAGUAUUCAAGACGAGAGAUUGAUUAUUGUGUUUUUGUUUGAAACAGCCUAACUCAGACACAUGUUGGGCACCUCUCUUAUCAUAGCAUCUGCUAACUCUUUCUAUGAGGUGUUCGAUACUGCGUCAAAAUUUUCAAACCAUAACCAUGUUCGGUUUGGACCAAACACUGACGGGAAAUCUUAACAUCUGAUUUCUGUAAUAAGAGGUUUUUCUAGCAACAAAGAGGGAAGAGCAGACAGUAACAUCACUACAAAAACUUCUCCAAUUUUUUAACUGUCUUCAUAUGUAUUUUAUGCAUGCAAUACAAAUAUAUAUAUAGAUUUUGACUUUUUAAAACUUACAUGGGUUUUUUCUAAUAUUUCUUAAAUUUAAAUGUGUUGAUCCCAGAUCACUUUCAAGAAGCUAAAAAAAAUUUGGGGGUUUUAAAUACUGUUAAGAUUUACUUUGCAAUAGCUAUUAAUUUAGCAUGAAACAAGUUUCCUUUUUAAAAUUCCUCUAAAGUAGAUAGCCUUAUUACUUCCCUCGGCUGUGAAUUAUUAAUAAGAAAAUUUUGUUUUUAUAAUAGAACUGGAAGACACUUAUUUAUGAAAAAUUUCUCAUUUUAAAGAAUUGUUGCAAAAGAGCCUACUUUAUGUGCUCCUAAACACAAACCAUAAAAUUUGCCUCAGAGAAAUAAGCACUAUUACUGAAAAAUAUUGAGCAUGCUAAAAUGUUUGUUUGAGUUUACAAAACUGGUAAAUUUAUUGUGAAAUUUAAAAUAAAAAUUUUUAAUUUAUUUUCUUUUAAUGUUUUAUUUUUGAUAUGUUAAAAACAAAAUUUUAAAUACAAUGAAACCUGCAUAAGUUGACCACCUGCGGUGCACUACUUCAGUGGUCAACUUAAACAGGUGAUCAACUUACAGAGUUUGAUUUAUAUGAUAAGGGCUCGUGCCUGAAAAAAAUCGGUCAACUUACAAGGGUGGUCAACUUCACAGGUUUUACUGUAUAACAUUAUUUGAAUUGUAAAUGAAAACUUCUGCUUUUUAUGAACUUUUUUCCUUGGUGUUGUUGUUAUUUUGUGCCAGCAAGGCUAACAAUUUUGAGGUGUGAUGCCUCACUUUUCCAACUGUACCGUAUGUUUAUAGGCUAGGCUUUUAUUUGCAGCAUAACAACACAUUCACACAAAGAGAGGACAAGGACAGGAGAGAGAAAAUACAUCCAUGGGAAUGGAAAGUACGAGCCAGGGACCUCCGUAUCACAGUCAGACUUCUCUGACCACUAUAUAAGGUGGCCAGCAACUUUUUCCCUUGUGUGACACAAUUAGUUAUACAAUUAACCUGGGUUCAAUUGGUUUUGGAGCUCUCGGGAACUUGGUUCCUGUUCUUCUUUUCAACUCAAUGUGAAUUUUGACACAAUCAAGAUUAUUUAUAUCAAAUUUAAGCGAAGUUCAUAAAUAUAAGUUUCACAUGAGUAUAUAUGUUUUAAACGUACAGAAAAGUUCUGAAUAAAUUCAUGUAUGCUUGUUUGUGCAGUUACAUUUUGGUUAAGCAAUAUAAGCUUUUAAAAAAUUCAUAUUCCUCUGUUAUUUUGCCUUUAAAAAUUUAAUAUUUGAAGAGUCUGCUGGAAAAUCAACCAAGUUCACUUUUUGAUAAAAUCUAGUUUUGAUGUUUUAUUUAUUCAUUCUAUAACAUAGAUGAUACUUUUGGCAUAUCAAAUAUUUAAUUAAAUAUUAUUUUAACACAAAUUAUUUUUAAAAUGUAUUUCCUUUGCUCAUUUUACUAGUUAAAUAAAAUUAUAUUUUUGUUUUAUUUGAAAUCGGUCCAGUUGGACUAAGGCAAUUUUUCCAGUGACCUCUUUGUUUGUUAAACACCAAAUGUAACUUAUGGACUACAUUAGUUCUGUUUGAAAUGUAUAAUUGCAGUUGCAGUGCAUUUAUUUCCUUUUCAACCUGUAUUACAGUUAUCAGAAUAGUAAUAAAAAAAGAAAGACAA
Long non-coding RNA from Uloborus diversus, 4291 nucleotides. RefSeq lists it as uncharacterized. The record is from RefSeq and is a predicted model, not a curated record. The transcript has 3 exons. NCBI's taxonomy places the organism in Eukaryota, Metazoa, Arthropoda, Arachnida, Araneae, Uloboridae.